Molecule: unclassified non-coding RNA, 383 nt
Filed under: uncultured fungus
Lineage: Eukaryota; Fungi
Description: sequence contains ITS1
Rfam family: 5.8S ribosomal RNA (bases 1-103)
Source: RNAcentral
GAAAUGCGAUACGUAGUGUGAAUUGCAGAAUUCAGUGAAUCAUCGAGACCUUGAACGCACCUUGCGCUUGUGGUCAACCACAAGCAUGCCUGUUUGAGUGUCGUCAAUAUUCUCACCAAAAAAGGAAGAGAAACCCUCUUUCUCCAUGGUGGCAGUGAGCGCCUGUCCGACUAUGGCAGCCGCUUGAAAGUCAACGAGGUGAACCGGUGUUGCCCCUUUGCAGGCCCGCCAUCCCAUGGUCCCUCCGGUGUUUCUAGCAUGCUCUGUCGUGAUUUUACACCAUCGGACCCUCUAGGGAAGGACUUGGGCCUGUGGCCAUUGGACCCUUUUCCAAACUUCAAAACUGCGACCUCAAAUCAGGUAAGACUACCCGCUGAAUUUAA